Molecule: non-coding RNA, 45 nt
Organism: Schistosoma mansoni
Lineage: Eukaryota; Metazoa; Platyhelminthes; Trematoda; Strigeidida; Schistosomatidae
Source: Rfam
AUCCAUCUGACGAGUCCCAAAUAGGACGAAACGCGCGUCGUGGAU